CUGCCCCCCCCCCAGGUCCAGAGUUGUCUGUCUGUCAGGACUGGCCCCCCCAGGUCCAGAGUUGUCUGUCCCUCCCUCUACAUAUCACGUGAUUACCAUAUAUUAACUGUAUAUCUGAACCUUUUAAAGUCGUGUCCUGCGGUCUGAGUGAGUACGGUGGGGAGGACAGUGGUGGUUAUCUGAGGGGGUGGCGUGACGGAGAAGGGAACAUCCAUGUUAAAUUCCCUCUUAUUGGUGGAAACCCGCUGCCCUGUCCAAUGGGAGGCCUCGUGGUUGGUGGGUGAUUUCCUAUCGAUCUCCCUCUGGAUGGGUGUCUGUGUAAAGAAAGGAGAAAUGUUCAAAAUAAAUGUAUUUUUGUAUAUGAGUGAAGUUGUAAAUAUGUUGAAGUAGCAGAUUUGAUGAGUUGUACCAUGUUUAUCAGUCUGAUAAACUCUGUACAGAAUAAAACUAUCCAGCUAUGA
Molecule: long non-coding RNA, 461 nt
Organism: Oncorhynchus masou masou (cherry salmon)
Lineage: Eukaryota; Metazoa; Chordata; Actinopteri; Salmoniformes; Salmonidae
Exons: 2
Source: RefSeq, a predicted model, not a curated record